This 484-nucleotide ribosomal RNA is filed under the name uncultured bacterium. RNAcentral describes it as "partial 16S ribosomal RNA". It matches the Rfam family "Bacterial small subunit ribosomal RNA", at positions 30 to 507 of the family's 1533-position model. The record is from RNAcentral.
AUUGAACGCUGGCGGCAGGCCUAACACAUGCAAGUCGAGCGGAUGAAGGGAGCUUGCUCCUGGAUUCAGCGGCGGACAGGUGAGUAAUGCCUAGGAAUCUGCCUGGUAGUGGGGGAUAACGUCCGGAAACGGGCGCUAAUACCGCAUACGUCCUGAGGGAGAAAGUGGGGGAUCUUCGGACCUCACGCUAUCAGAUGAGCCUAGGUCGGAUUAGCUAGUCGGUGGGGUAAAGGCCUACCAAGGCGACGAUCCGUAACUGGUCUGAGAGGAUGAUCAGUCACACUGGAACUGAGACACGGUCCAGACUCCUACGGGAGGCAGCAGUGGGGAAUAUUGGACAAUGGGCGAAAGCCUGAUCCAGCCAUGCCGCGUGUGUGAAGAAGGUCUUCGGAUUGUAAAGCACUUUAAGUUGGGAGGAAGGGCAGUAAGUUAAUACCUUGCUGUUUUGACGUUACCAACAGAAUAAGCACCGGCUAACUUCGUG